UUUUUUAGUUUUUUUGAAUUUUUUUUUUAAGUAUCCAUACUUAUUUUGUGUACAACUUUUUUUUUUAUUUAAA
Pangasianodon gigas (Mekong giant catfish) is the source of this 73-nucleotide non-coding RNA. The record is from the annotation of a GenBank genome assembly. NCBI's taxonomy places the organism in Eukaryota, Metazoa, Chordata, Actinopteri, Siluriformes, Pangasiidae.